This is a non-coding RNA of Paramuricea clavata, 360 nucleotides long. The record is from the annotation of a GenBank genome assembly. NCBI's taxonomy places the organism in Eukaryota, Metazoa, Cnidaria, Anthozoa, Malacalcyonacea, Plexauridae.
CCAUUUUACCUUGUAAUGAAGACAUUUGCCCUACCAGGCAAGGAGAGGGUUGGGCAAAGUGACCUUGUCAGUAUACAGCCCAGCAAGCUUUGUAUGGAGUAGAGUUCUAGUUAUCAUUUGCACAUAUAAACAUGCACCAAAAAGUCGCCAAUAUAUCUAAAUUCUUCUGUAGGUUUCCUAAAGAUCUACUUAAAAGAAAACAGUGGACACACAACAUUCGACGCCAAAAUUGGUCGCCUAAAAAGUCCUCCUUCAUAUGUUCUGACCACUUUAAGGAAGCAUUCAUCGAUAGAACUGGGCAAAGCGUCCGCCUGAGACAGGAUGCUGUACCCACCAGAUUUAAGAUGUUUCCAAGUCAUC